This 389-nucleotide ribosomal RNA is filed under the name uncultured cyanobacterium. Its description in RNAcentral is "bacterial SSU rRNA". It matches the Rfam family "Bacterial small subunit ribosomal RNA", at positions 392 to 795 of the family's 1533-position model. Lineage: Bacteria; Bacillati; Cyanobacteriota. The record is from RNAcentral.
CAAGACCGCGUGGGGGAGGAAAGCCUUUGGGUUGUAAACCCCUUUUCUCAGGGAAGAAGAAAGUGACGGUACCUGAGGAAUCAGCCUCGGCUAACUCCGUGCCAGCAGCCGCGGUAAUACGGAGGAGGCAAGCGUUAUCCGGAAUGAUUGGGCGUAAAGCGUUCGUAGGUGGCAAUUCAAGUCUGCUGUCAAAGACAGUAGCUCAACUACUGCAAGGCAGUGGAAACUGAAUAGCUAGAGUGCGGUAGGGGCAGAGGGAAUUCCCGGUGUAGCGGUGAAAUGCGUAGAGAUCGGGAAGAACACCGGUGGCGAAAGCGCUCUGCUGGGCCGCAACUGACACUGAGGGACGAAAGCUAGGGGAGCGAAUGGGAUUAGAUACCCCAGUAGUC